This is a non-coding RNA of Phrynosoma platyrhinos (Desert horned lizard), 69 nucleotides long. Lineage: Eukaryota; Metazoa; Chordata; Lepidosauria; Squamata; Phrynosomatidae. The record is from the annotation of a GenBank genome assembly.
GCCAGUGUGGUAGUGUUCGAAUGCUGGACUACGACUCUGGAGACCAGGGUUCAAAUUCCUGCUCAGCCA